Molecule: ribosomal RNA, 482 nt
Filed under: uncultured bacterium
Lineage: Bacteria
Description: bacterial SSU rRNA
Rfam family: Bacterial small subunit ribosomal RNA
Source: RNAcentral
AUUGAACGCUGGCGGCAUGCCUUACACAUGCAAGUCGAACGGUAACGGGCCUUCGGGUGCCGACGAGUGGCGAACGGGUGAGUAAUGUAUCGGAACGUACCUUCAGUGGGGGAUAACGUAGCGAAAGUUACGCUAAUACCGCAUAUUCUGUGAGCAGGAAAGCAGGGGAUCGCAAGACCUUGCGCUGAUUGAGCGGCCGAUAUCAGAUUAGCUAGUUGGUGAGGUAAAGGCUCACCAAGGCGACGAUCUGUAGCGGGUCUGAGAGGAUGAUCCGCCACACUGGAACUGAGACACGGUCCAGACUCCUACGGGAGGCAGCAGUGGGGAAUUUUGGACAAUGGGGGCAACCCUGAUCCAGCCAUGCCGCGUGAGUGAAGAAGGCCUUCGGGUUGUAAAGCUCUUUCGGCCGGGAAGAAAUCGUUAUGGGUUAAUACCCUGUGCGGAUGACGGUACCGGCAUAAGAAGCACCGGCUAACUACGUG